UGCUCCUUUGAUGUCAACCCUCUUUGGUCUUUGCAUGUUAUAUAUGGUUCUAUGUCUUUGUGUCACUCUCGGUUCUAAGAUUUCACUUGUUAGUUCAGUCACUUGAUGUCAACACCCAAGGGUAAUUUUUUGUUCAGCUUUAUCUUUAUACAUUAUAUUACUAUACAUCUUUUAUAUGACAUACUACUCGUUUAGCUCAUCUCUGUAUUUGUUAAGUUGUACGACAGGAUUGAAAAUAACUGGUAAAAGCUGCAUAGUAGCAAUACUUUUUUACUGAUUCCUUUUGUAGAUAUAAAUUAUCGAAGAAAAAUAUUAAACAUUUUGUCCAAUGUGUAAACAUCAUUGAAUCUAAAUAUCAGCAAGAAAAUCACUUCUGCAUAGUACAAAUUGGUUUCGAUAAAUUACAAAACUAAAACAAGC
RNAcentral lists this long non-coding RNA (420 nucleotides) under Sorghum bicolor (sorghum). RNAcentral describes it as "long non-coding RNA (SBIC_LNC015147)". The record is from RNAcentral. Lineage: Eukaryota; Viridiplantae; Streptophyta; Magnoliopsida; Poales; Poaceae.